CUUGAAUCUACAAUGUUAAAUUAUUAAUUUAAUUUUUGUAUGGAUUGUGAAAAUUCUUGCGUGUAACCCAUGGCCAGUUGCAGGAUAACAUUGUUCAUUUAGGGAAGAUCUUUAUGGUUAUGGCAAAACCUUUCAUCAUCAGCCGAUGGUAUAAUGGACUACCAGUUGGAUGAUACACAGUCGUCUGAAACAUGAUAUAUACUUCUCCUCAUCCGUGUCCAUGGGUGAGUGGAGGGAGCAGCUUUCUUCCAGGAGAGUGUUUUACUGGAAGAGGGGGAAGAUCUUCAUGGUUAAAAGUCUGUCAGAGCUGUGUUACAAGUGCUGGGUUGGCAUGCAGCAAUGUACAUGGCCCAUAUGCUGACACAGUACCAGUUUUGUUUCCAAAAGUGGAGUUCACAGAAUUACAGUGUCUGAUCCAACUAGCUGCUCUGAUGAUCCUCACUGGACCAUGUGUCAGUGGCACAACUGUUCCAUUGCAGAAAAUUUUAUAAUGGAUGCUGAAUUUCAGGAUACCUGAAAAUACCUGCGCAGUUUUGAUGUGGAAGGAAAACAAUAAAGAAAGUGUCUAAAAUGAUAUGGUUAGCUUC
Molecule: long non-coding RNA, 587 nt
Filed under: Parus major (Great Tit)
Lineage: Eukaryota; Metazoa; Chordata; Aves; Passeriformes; Paridae
Description: lncRNA (ENSPMJG00000007172.1)
Source: RNAcentral